This 472-nucleotide ribosomal RNA is filed under the name uncultured bacterium. RNAcentral's name for it is "bacterial SSU rRNA". It matches the Rfam family "Bacterial small subunit ribosomal RNA", at positions 355 to 825 of the family's 1533-position model. The record is from RNAcentral.
UGGGGAAUUUUGGACAAUGGGCGCAAGCCUGAUCCAGCCAUACCGCGUGAGUGAAGAAGGCCUUCGGGUUGUAAAGCUCUUUCAGACGGAAAGAAACGGUUACGGCUAAUACCCGUGACUAAUGACGGUACCGUAAGAAGAAGCACCGGCUAACUACGUGCCAGCAGCCGCGGUAAUACGUAGGGUGCGAGCGUUAAUCGGAAUUACUGGGCGUAAAGCGUGCGCAGGCGGUUUGGUAAGACAGAUGUGAAAUCCCCGGGCUUAACCUGGGAACUGCAUUUGUGACUGCCAGACUAGAGUGUAGCAGAGGGGGGUAGAAUUCCACGUGUAGCAGUGAAAUGCGUAGAUAUGCGGAGGAACACCGAUGGCGAAGGCAAUCCCCUGGACCUGUACUGACGCUCAUGCACGAAAGCGUGGGGAGCAAACAGGAUUAGAUACCCUCGUAGUCCCUGAGCGGGCUGGCAAGGCGCAU